RNAcentral lists this transfer RNA (71 nucleotides) under Nippostrongylus brasiliensis. It matches the Rfam family "tRNA". From Rfam's summary of the family: Transfer RNA (tRNA) molecules are approximately 80 nucleotides in length. Their secondary structure includes four short double-helical elements and three loops (D, anti-codon, and T loops). Lineage: Eukaryota; Metazoa; Nematoda; Chromadorea; Rhabditida; Heligmosomidae. The record is from Rfam by way of RNAcentral.
GUCUCAGUAGCAUAGUGGUUAGUGCACAGCGCGGAUAGGUUGAGACGCGCGUUCGAAUCCCGCCUGAGAUG